This 461-nucleotide ribosomal RNA is filed under the name uncultured Acidobacteriota bacterium. RNAcentral's name for it is "bacterial SSU rRNA". It matches the Rfam family "Bacterial small subunit ribosomal RNA", at positions 355 to 832 of the family's 1533-position model. The record is from RNAcentral. Lineage: Bacteria; Pseudomonadati; Acidobacteriota.
UCGGGAAUUUUGCGCAAUGGACGAAAGUCUGACGCAGCAACGCCGCGUGAGGGAUGACGGCCUUCGGGUUGUAAACCUCUUUUGUCAGGGAAGAUGAUGACGGUACCUGGCGAAUAAGCCACGGCUAACUACGUGCCAGCAGCCGCGGUAAUACGUAGGUGGCAAGCGUUGUCCGGAUUUACUGGGCGUAAAGAGCGCGCAGGCGGUCGUUCAAGUCGCGUGUGAAAGCCCCCGGCUCAACUGGGGAGGUCACGCGAUACUGAUCGACUCGAAGGCAGGAGAGGGUAGUGGAAUUCCCGGUGUAGUGGUGAAAUGCGUAGAUAGUCGGGAGGACACCAGUGGCGAAGGCGACUACCUGGCCUGUUCUUGACGCUGAGGCGCGAAGGCUAGGGGAGCGAAACGGGAUUAGAUACCCCGGUAGUCCUAGCCGUAAACGAUGGACACGUAGGUGUUGGUGGUAU